RNAcentral lists this ribosomal RNA (373 nucleotides) under uncultured organism. RNAcentral's name for it is "partial 16S ribosomal RNA". It matches the Rfam family "Bacterial small subunit ribosomal RNA", at positions 527 to 896 of the family's 1533-position model. The record is from RNAcentral.
GUAGGUGGCAAGCGUUGUCCGGAAUUAUUGGGCGUAAAGCGCGCGCAGGGCGGUCCUUUAAGUCUGAUGUGAAAGCCCACGGCUCAACCGUGGAGGGUCAUUGGAAACUGGGGGACUUGAGUACAGAAGAGGAAAGCGGAAUUCCAAGUGUAGCGGUGAAAUGCGUAGAGAUUUGGAGGAACACCAGUGGCGAAGGCGGCUUUCUGGUCUGUAACUGACGCUGAGGCGCGAAAGCGUGGGGAGCAAACAGGAUUAGAUACCCUGGUAGUCCGCGCCGUAAACGAUGAGUGCUAAGUGUUAGGGGGUUUCCGCCCCUUAGUGCUGCAGCUAACGCAUUAAGCACUCCGCCCGGGGAGUACGGCCGCAAAGGCUG